This 228-nucleotide ribosomal RNA is filed under the name uncultured bacterium. Its description in RNAcentral is "partial 16S ribosomal RNA". It matches the Rfam family "Bacterial small subunit ribosomal RNA", at positions 568 to 795 of the family's 1533-position model. The record is from RNAcentral.
UCCGCAGGCGGUCAAUUAAGUCAGAGGUGAAAUACCAUAGCUCAACUAUGGAACUGCCUUUGAUACUGGUUGACUUGAGUCAUAUGGAAGUAGAUAGAAUGUGUAGUGUAGCGGUGAAAUGCAUAGAUAUUACACAGAAUACCGAUUGCGAAGGCAGUCUACUACGUAUGUACUGACGCUGAGGGACGAAAGCGUGGGGAGCGAACAGGAUUAGAUACCCUGGUAGUC